RNAcentral lists this ribosomal RNA (253 nucleotides) under uncultured bacterium. Its description in RNAcentral is "partial 16S ribosomal RNA". It matches the Rfam family "Bacterial small subunit ribosomal RNA", at positions 524 to 776 of the family's 1533-position model. The record is from RNAcentral.
UACGUAGGGGGCGAGCGUUGUCCGGAAUUAUUGGGCGUAAAGAGCUCGUAGGCGGUUUGUCGCGUCUGCUGUGAAAACUCGGGGCUUAACUCCGGGCCUGCAGUGGGUACGGGCAGACUAGAGUGCGGUAGGGGAGACUGGAAUUCCUGGUGUAGCGGUGAAAUGCGCAGAUAUCAGGAGGAACACCGGUGGCGAAGGCGGCGACCUGGUCCUUGACUGACGCUGAGGCGCGAAAGCGUGGGGAGCAAACAGG